Molecule: ribosomal RNA, 253 nt
Filed under: uncultured bacterium
Lineage: Bacteria
Description: partial 16S ribosomal RNA
Rfam family: Bacterial small subunit ribosomal RNA
Source: RNAcentral
UACGUAGGGGGCAAGCGUUGUCCGGAUUUAUUGGGCGUAAAGAGCGUGUAGGCGGCCAGGUAGGUCCGUUGUGAAAACUGGAGGCUUAACCUCCAGCUGUCGAUGGAAACCAUCUGGCUAGAGUCCGGAAGAGGAGAGUGGAAUUCCUGGUGUAGCGGUGAAAUGCGCAGAUAUCAGGAAGAACACCCGUGGCGAAGGCGGCUCUCUAGUACGGUACUGACGCUGAGACGCGAAAGCGUGGGGAGCGAACAGG